Molecule: non-coding RNA, 242 nt
Organism: Cinara cedri
Lineage: Eukaryota; Metazoa; Arthropoda; Insecta; Hemiptera; Aphididae
Source: the annotation of a GenBank genome assembly
AAAUUAUUAUUAUAUUAAAGCACCCGCAGCGAAAUUUUGUCAGCGAUCGCGAAAUCAAAACUCGCACUAAUCUCUAAUAUAUGCUCACUAAACCGAAAAGAAGAUGCCCAAUGGAAAGAUGGCAUGCCGUUUCGUUUUUUUUCUAGUACCUAUACGCGUUACAUAAUACAACAUAAUAAUAAUAUUUAUAAUAUUUAAAACAAGUGAAUUAAACAAUAUCUAAUUGGUGUCUCUUACGUUUU